This 32-nucleotide non-coding RNA is filed under the name Prorocentrum micans. Lineage: Eukaryota; Dinophyceae; Prorocentrales; Prorocentraceae. The record is from RNAcentral.
CAAUUGUUUUUUUUUUUUUUUUUUUUUUUUAU